CGGGGGACUCAAAGGAGACUGCCAGUGACAAGCUGGAGGAAGGUGGGGAUGUCGUCAAGUCAUCAUGGCCCUUACGAGUAGGGCUACACACGUGCUACAAUGGUGCAUACAGAGGGAGGUGAAGUAGCGAUACGGAGCGAAACUCAGAAAGUGCAUCGUAGUCCGGAUUGGAGUCUGCAACUCGACUCCAUGAAGUCGGAAUCGCUAGUAAUCGCGAAUCAGAAUGUCGCGGUGAAUACGUUCCCGGUCCUUGUACACACCGCCCGUCACACCAUGGGAGUGGGUUGUACCAGAAGUAGAUAGCUUAACCUUUAGGAGGGCGUUUACCACGGUAUGAUUCAUGACUGGGGUGAAGUCGUAACAAGGUAACCGUAGGGGAACCUGCGGUUGGAUCACCU
Molecule: ribosomal RNA, 398 nt
Filed under: Gallibacterium anatis
Lineage: Bacteria; Pseudomonadati; Pseudomonadota; Gammaproteobacteria; Pasteurellales; Pasteurellaceae
Description: bacterial SSU rRNA
Rfam family: Bacterial small subunit ribosomal RNA
Source: RNAcentral